CUGCCCAAUGAGGAUUUAAAUGGCCGCGGUACUUUGACCGUGCAAAGGUAGCAUAAUCAAUAGUUUCUUAAUUGGAAGCUGGUAUGAAAGGUUGGAUGAGAAAAUAACUGUCUCUGUUUAAAUUUUUUAGAAUUUUAUUUUUAAGUAAAAAAGCUUAAAUUUUAAUAGAAGACGAGAAGACCCUAUAGAGUUUUAUAGAUUUUAGUUUAAAAAGUCUUUAGAAUUAAUAAAUUUUUAAAUUAGUGUUUAUUUAGUUGGGGUGAUUGAAAAAUUAAAAAAACUUUUUUUUAUUAUUAUAACAUUAAUAUAUGAGUAAAUGAUCCUUAAUUUAAGAUUAAAAGAAAAAAUUACCUUAGGGAUAACAGCGUAAUUUUUUUAAAGAGUUCAAAUCGAAAAAAAAGAUUGCGACCUCGAUGUUGGAUUAAAAUAAAAUUUUGGUGUAGGGGCUAAAGUAUUUGGGUCUGUUCGACCCUUAAAAUUUUACAUGAUCUGAGUUUAAACCGGCGU
Molecule: ribosomal RNA, 507 nt
Filed under: Rhinoscapha sp. 4 MVD-2017
Lineage: Eukaryota; Metazoa; Arthropoda; Insecta; Coleoptera; Curculionidae
Description: partial 16S ribosomal RNA
Rfam family: Bacterial large subunit ribosomal RNA
Source: RNAcentral